Physeter macrocephalus (sperm whale) is the source of this 1182-nucleotide RNA transcript. It is a transcript of the gene named ATPase H+ transporting V0 subunit e1, with no coding region annotated. Lineage: Eukaryota; Metazoa; Chordata; Mammalia; Artiodactyla; Physeteridae. The transcript has 6 exons. The record is from RefSeq and is a predicted model, not a curated record.
UCACGCGGCCGGUGUUGACACUUCCGGGUGGGACCACAGUGAGGCGGCGGGGCAGGGGCUGGCACCUCCCGCAGCAACCAUGGCGUAUACCGGCCUCACCGUGCCUCUCAUCGUGAUGAGCGUGUUCUGGGGCUUCGUCGGCUUCCUGGUGCCCUGGUUCAUCCCUAAGGGUCCCAACCGGGGAGUUAUCAUCACCAUGUUGGUGACCUGUUCCGUCUGCUGCUAUCUCUUUUGGCUGAUUGCAAUUCUGGCCCAACUCAACCCUCUCUUUGGACCGCAGUUGAAAAAUGAAACCAUCUGGUACCUCAAGCAUCAUUGGCCUUGAGUAAGAAGACCUGCUCGCCAGUGCCCAGUCAUUGAGUUGAGCCUGUUAUGUCACUUGUGUCUGCCUCUCUACUCUGUUCCUCUGUCGGGGACCCUACUAUCUGACCCAGUCACUGCGGCUCUGAAUUACUGCAGUGGCUCCUCAUCACGUCUGCCUGCCUCUACACUCAAGUAGCACAUAUGGCUUUAUUUAUAAAGACGUUAUACAAUAAGCUUUGCGUGAAGGAGUUAUGCGACCGCUGUUAGCAGUCUGAUGUGUGAAGAUACCUAUUUUAAAUGUUUGCCAGCUCUGCAAAGGUGGUGUUGCAGCUUUAAGCUUCUAGAAGAAGAAAUUCUCAUUUGUCACCUACACUUGGGGUGGCAAGAACGGUCAUGAAGAGAACUCCUCUAGAUGCAAAAUCACCUCCAUAGCCAGACCACCUUCCUUGACUCGCCCACUUUGGCUGUCAGCUGCCUUAAACGUUCCCACCACAUUUGAAUAUCUUAUUCUACAAUGCAGUAUUUUUUCCUGUCACCUUUUUUACACUUUGAUGAAUGAUGUGCCUAUUGAAUCUAAACUGUGCUGCCUCUAUAAAAUGUUUAUGUACUGUUCGGAGAUAGAAAGUGCUGUUCUUCUGAGAAAUAACAUUUCUCUCUCCUUGGAAACUGUGGAUUUGAAGAUGGCUCCUGCCUGCUCACAACAUGAGAAUCAGCGAAGUGUUUAAAAACUGUUACAUGACAGUAAGACUCCAGUGGGGCAGUCAGUAGGAGAACAUGUUCAGAGGGGAAAUCUGUCCCACCAGAAUUAUACCAAAGUAUAUUUUCAGGAUGAAUUUCUUAUUUCUGCCCUCCUUUGGAAUAAAUUAUUUUUCUGCUCUC